AACAGAAACAAGUGGGACCAGAGGAGCUCCGUGGUGACACCCGUGGAGGACGUGUUUUAUUUGGUGGCGUUUCUAAGAUCAGCUCUGGAUGAUGGAGAGGAGACCCACACCUUGGAGUACCUGAGCAAUCAGAACCGUCAGAUCCUCAGAUUCUGUGAUGAUGCAGGCAUCAAGGUGAAGCAAUAUUUGCCUCACUACACCACUCAGCAAGAGUGGGUGGACCACUUUGGGGAUAAGUGGUCCCAGUUUUACCAGAACAAGAUGGAAUUUGAUCCCCGGCGCAUUUUAGCAACUGGCCAACGUAUAUUCAUGCCCUCCUUUGUUGCCGCUUCAUCAUCAUCUUCUUCUUUUAGUACCGUGGGCCCAUGGUGAUGAGCGAUGACACAUGCGGAUAUUUUUUUUACUUACAGUACACCUUAUAAUAGAAUAUACUGAAUUAGGAAUAUUCUUGUACAUAAUGGCAAAAUGGGAAUUCGAAAUAGUUGAUAGCUUUUGAGCAGCAAUACAACCGGCC
RNAcentral lists this unclassified non-coding RNA (514 nucleotides) under Hevea brasiliensis (rubber tree). Lineage: Eukaryota; Viridiplantae; Streptophyta; Magnoliopsida; Malpighiales; Euphorbiaceae. The record is from RNAcentral.